RNAcentral lists this ribosomal RNA (450 nucleotides) under uncultured bacterium. Its description in RNAcentral is "partial 16S ribosomal RNA". It matches the Rfam family "Bacterial small subunit ribosomal RNA", at positions 29 to 523 of the family's 1533-position model. The record is from RNAcentral.
AACGAACGCUGGCGGCAGGCCUAACACAUGCAAGUCGAACGGUUGUAGCAAUACAGCCGUGGCGCACGGGUGAGUAACGCGUGGGAAUCUGCCCAGUAGUACGGAAUAACAGUUGGAAACGACUGACAAUACCGUAUACGCCCUUCGGGGGAAAGUGUUUCGCUAUUGGAUGAGCCCGCGUCAGAUUAGCUAGUUGGUGGGGUAAUGGCCUACCAAGGCGACGAUCUGUAGCUGUUCUGAGAGGAAGACCAGCCACACUGGAACUGAUACACGGUCCAGACUCCUACGGGAGGCAGCAGUGGGGAAUAUUGGACAAUGGGCGAAAGCCUGAUCCAGCCAUGCCGCGUGAGUGAUGAAGGCCUUAGGGUUGUAAAGCUCUUUUGGCGGGGAAGAUAAUGACGGUACCCGCAGAAUAAGUUCCGGCUAACUUCGUGCCAGCCGCCGCGGUAA